Molecule: ribosomal RNA, 750 nt
Filed under: uncultured Glomeraceae
Lineage: Eukaryota; Fungi; Glomeromycota; Glomeromycetes; Glomerales; Glomeraceae
Description: SSU rRNA
Rfam family: Eukaryotic small subunit ribosomal RNA
Source: RNAcentral
GGCCUACCAUGGUGGUAACGGGUAACGGGGUGUUAGGGCACGACACCGGAGAGGGAGCCUGAGAUACGGCUACCACAUCCAAGGAUGGCAGCAGGCGCGCAAAUUACCCAAUCCCGACACGGGGAGGUAGUGACAAUAAAUAACAAUACGGGGUUCUUUAGGAUCUCGUAAUUGGAAUGAGUACAAUUUAAAUCUCUUAACGAGGAACAAUUGGAGGGCAAGUCUGGUGCCAGCAGCCGCGGUAAUUCCAGCUCCAAUAGCGUAUAUUAAAGUUGUUGCAGUUAAAAAGCUCGUAGUUGAAUUUCGGGGUUAGUAAGUUGGUCAUGCCUUCGGUAUGUACUGGCUUUACUGAUUCCUCCUUCUUGACGAACCGUGAUGUCAUUAAUUUGGUGUUGCGGGAAAUCAGGACUGUUACUUUGAAAAAAUUAGAGUGUUUAAAGCAGGCUAACGCUUGAAUACAUUAGCAUGGAAUAAUGAAAUAGGACGUUAAUCCUAUUUUGUUGGUUUCUAGGAUCGACGUAAUGAUUAAUAGGGAUAGUUGGGGGCAUUAGUAUUCAAUUGUCAGAGGUGAAAUUCUUGGAUUUAUUGAAGACUAACUACUGCGAAAGCAUUUGCCAAGGAUGUUUUCAUUAAUCAAGAACGAAAGUUAGGGGAUCGAAGACGAUCAGAUACCGUCGUAGUCUUAACCAUAAACUAUGCCGACUAGGGAUCGGAUGAUGUUAUUUUUAAUGACUCAUUCGGCGCCUUACG